This 222-nucleotide ribosomal RNA is filed under the name uncultured bacterium. RNAcentral describes it as "partial 16S ribosomal RNA". It matches the Rfam family "Bacterial small subunit ribosomal RNA", at positions 28 to 251 of the family's 1533-position model. The record is from RNAcentral.
GACGAACGCUGGCGGCGUGCUUAACACAUGCAAGUCGAGCGGUAAGGCCCUUUCGGGGGUACACGAGCGGCGAACGGGUGAGUAACACGUGGGUGACCUGCCCUCAGCUCUGGGAUAAGCCUGGGAAACUGGGUCUAAUACUGGAUAUGACUCCACGGUGCAUGUCGUGGGGUGGAAAGCCUUGUGCGGCUGAGGAUGGGCCCGCGGCCUAUCAGCUUGUGC